Non-coding RNA from Macaca mulatta (Rhesus monkey), 1017 nucleotides. NCBI's taxonomy places the organism in Eukaryota, Metazoa, Chordata, Mammalia, Primates, Cercopithecidae. The record is from RefSeq and is a predicted model, not a curated record.
CCCGCUGCCUGGAAUGCCGGUGCCUCCUUGUCCUUCAACGCCCAGCUCAGCUCAGUCAUGGCUCCACUAAGCCACGUCAGGGCCUGCUGUGGCGCUGAAUCUAGAGGCAUGCUUGGUGAACAUCCCCUGAUGAAGAUGUGGGCGUGUCCCUUCUUACAGAGCACACCUGGGAGAAAGCAGGAACUGGCGGGAGCGUGCCAGCCCCGCACUGACGGCCGUCGUUUCAUCUUUUUCUGAUCCGAGAGUACCAUAGAACAGUUACCUUAGUUAAAUUUCUAUCAGUGGUUCUCAACCUGGCUGGAUUUGGCCCUCAGGGGGCAUUUGGCAAUGUCUGGAGACUUUCGCUGUUGCCGUCACUGGGGGAAGGAGUAUUAACGGUGGGUAGAGGCCAGGGAUGCUGCUGAGUGUCCUACAGUGCACGGGGCGGUCCCCCGCAGCAGGGAAUUAUCAGGCCCCAAAUGUCGGUAGUGCUGAGGUUGGGAAACCCUGAGUCACACUUUGACAGGUUCUCAGGCUGAUGCUGGGACUUGAUUUGCUUACGUGCCCCUAUCCACUACGGGAGGCACAAACGGAAGAUCCGAGGAACGUUCCCUAGCUCCCAAGGAGCCAGGACCGGAACAUGGACAGAAGCAUGCACGGCCUUGUAUGCUGUGUCUGCCUGGGAGGGCAGCUCUGUGGCAGAAGGCUGCUCACCUGGCCACAGGAAGGACUGGGGAAGCCCACACUGCUCCAGCUCACAUCCUCACGGGACCUGAAGGCUGGAGAGGGAAUUCCAGGAGUCCAGGUACAUCCUGUCUGGUCCCAAGAUCUCUGAAGGGUUCCCGGGGGACAGUCUGUUUCCGGAAGCAGCUGUGAAGUCCUCCAGCUUCCUUAGUGAGCUGGGGAGGGGGGUGCUGCCGUGACUCUGUAAGAGGUUGACUCUUGGAAGCACGAAGAAGGCUCCAGAGACAGCUCUUGCCUUGUUUAGUUUGAUUUGAUGUUGUUUUUUUGAAUUAUUAAACACAAGUCAGUAAGAAA